UACGAAGGGGGCGAGCGUUGUUCGGAAUCACUGGGCGUAAAGGGCGCGUAGGCGGCCCUCCUUGUCGCGUGUGAAAGCCCCGGGCUCAACCUGGGAACGGCGCGCGAGACGGGGGGGCUGGAGUUCGGGAGAGGAGCGUGGAAUUCCCAGUGUAGAGGUGAAAUUCGUAGAUAUUGGGAGGAACACCAGAGGCGAAAGCGGCGACCUGGACAGGUACUGACACUCAACUACGAAAGCGUGGGGAGCAAACAGG
This 253-nucleotide ribosomal RNA is filed under the name uncultured bacterium. RNAcentral's name for it is "partial 16S ribosomal RNA". It matches the Rfam family "Bacterial small subunit ribosomal RNA", at positions 524 to 776 of the family's 1533-position model. The record is from RNAcentral.